This is a long non-coding RNA of Symphalangus syndactylus (siamang), 3579 nucleotides long. RefSeq lists it as uncharacterized. The record is from RefSeq and is a predicted model, not a curated record. Lineage: Eukaryota; Metazoa; Chordata; Mammalia; Primates; Hylobatidae.
UUAUAUUUUAGAAACUAAUCUGAAUCAGAUCCACUUUAAGAAAUCCUGAGAAAUGGGUUCUGUUUCUGAGUAAAAUGCAGGAUGUCAUGAAAGGUGAACAUUACCAAAGUAACAACUGAAAAAGCUAUAAAUGUAAAAAAAUCAUAUUUUAAAAACUUUGAAGAGUGUGGAAGCAAGAAUAAUUAGAUAAACUAAAAUUCUGCAAAAGGAAAUGCAUUUUUUAGGCUUCUCAUCCUCAGACGUUUUUCUGAAGGCAGAUGAAGCACCAAACCUCGGGUGAGACAAUUAAGAACAAAUGGCGCAGUUACAGAAGACAGGAUGCGACCCUGCCACCUCUCUCUCUCUUUCAGGUUCACUUCAGAUGCAGGAAACAGCCCCAGUGAAUCAGAGCAGAAAAUCCUUUUGGAGCAAGUCUUGCAGACUCACUGCUGCGAUGUGGAGAGAUCCCAGGAGGCUCUAGAUGAGGUGUGUGGCUGUGCUAGGAAAGAGGAUCCCACUGAGUGGUUUUAGGCUUUUUCUCAAGAUGCAUAGAAACGUGAAGCAAGUGACAGCCACAUCACAAACUUUAUCCAUGAUUACAGAAUGCAGCCCUAUUUCAAUGAUGUUCAAAGGGAAAUAGAGUAACAUAAAAGCAGAAGUUCUUGAGCAGAUCCUGUUUUGCAGUUAAAAUGGCUGGCGUUCCUGCAGCCAUCUUGCACAACAAAGAAGACUUCAGCAUGGCAGCCCUUAUGCUCAGGAUGUUGAAGCAGAAAGACGGAAAGAGUCUGUGAAACUGUCAUUCUGAAUCUGAACUGCCUACCUCCAGACUUCUUCUAGUAGGUCACUGCCAUUUCCAGACUCUGAGUUAGCAGCCAAACACUGCUCCUAACAUUUUUAAAAGAUAAUCUCUUAGCGAGUACAGUAUGAUUAUAGCCUAGUCAUAAAAUACUUCCAUUACCUUAUUUUAAACAUUAGUCAUAAAUGCUAACUGAUAUCCAAGGCUUGAUUAAGAAGUAACUAUGUACACAUUUUCCUUCAUUCUCUAAAUAGUUUUGGAGCAGCCAGGCAUUAGGGCUUAGAAAUCAGCAGUAUAUAUUUCAAAACAUUUAUAUUGAGCUAACCUACUAAACAAUGUUUGAUUAACCAUGACGGAUAAAUCAAUAACUUUUUUAAAUGCAAUUUGAAACUUACAUGUUUAAUUUAAUUACGUGGUAAAAUAAGUGCAGUAGAGUUACCUAGAGUUUUCCUCUUUUCAAUAAAAAAAUGCAUAUUUGAGUAAUUUUUUCUCAUAAUACACAUUAUGUAUUUUCUUUUUUUUUUUAACUUUGGAGAAAGUUAUAAGAUUAUCUCAUCAAUAAAAUCUUUUUUGUUUUUGAUUAAAUAAGUGUUUAUUAAGAACCUCCACACAGACAAAAGAUGUAAAAGGCCUGAUCCUAGACUGAGGGAAUUCAUGAUAUUGUCUCCAAAUUGUGUGAGAAAAGUGCAGAAGAUCUGUUCUAAUUGUGCUAUAAUUUUGUUAAUGCUGUCAAUUUUUUUUCUAAGAGAUGCCAUUAUAGAUUGUGUCUAUUACUUUCUACCUGUAAAAAUUUUGUGAAAAUUGAAAACAUGAGCUGAUAUUUUGGUGCUGUAGGCAAUGCAUCAACUAGAAUCUUAGCUUUCUCCAGACACUAGUCAAAAGCACUAUUGGCUGGGAUUUUCUUUUUAGGAUUGAAAACAAAAAUGUGAACACCAACUUCCUUCUCCUACCUCAAUUCAAAACUUUGCCUAGAAUUGAGUCUAUUAAAAAGUGAGAGAGUAAUUUUGAAUAAAUAGUUAAGAAUUAUUUAUUUUUGAGAUCUUAUUGGGAAUAAGUAACUUUUAAACUUUUGGCAUAAAAGACAAGACGGUAUUUCUUUCUAGCACAUCCAAACAUCUAAAUCAAUACAUCACAUUUUUCUUGUUUUAAAAAUAUAGUCCAAAAAUAACACAUGCAUUAGUGUUUUAUAUUUCCUUUCUUGAAAAAAAAUUCAAGAUGUUAAGGUCAAAAUCAUCUUCCAAAAUUUAUCAGUUUGUUAUUUCUACAACAGAAAAUGGUCUUUGGAUUGGUGUGACAUCUGUCCUUUAAGUUUGUAGUAAUUUUAGUCGUCUGCAAUAAGCACACCAUCACUUUGCAUUAGAAAAAUUGUCAAUUUCAGGUGAUCAAGGUGAUUGAAUCGUCUGGAUUCAAUAGGUUACCUACUGUCAAAAAUGAUAGACUGGAUUAAGAAAAUGUGGCACAUAUACACCAUGGAAUACUAUGCAGCCAUAAAAAUGAUGAGUUCAUGUCCUUCGUAGGGACAUGGAUGACACUGGAAACCAUCAUUCUCAGCAAACUAUCGCGAGGACAAAAAACCAAAUACCACAUGUUCUCACUCAUAGGUGGAAAUUGAACAAUGAGAACACAUGGACACAGGAAGGGGAACAUCACACACUGGGGCCUGUUGUGGGGUGGGGGGAGCGGGAAGGGACAGCAUUAGGAGAUAUACCUAAUGUUAAAUGACGAGUUAAUGGGUGCAGCACACCAACAUGGCACAUGUAUACAUAUGUAACAAACCUGCACGUUGUGCACAUGUACCCUAAAACUUACAGUAUGAUAAAAAAUGUCAUUGCUUUAAUAACACAUUUUAUUCUUAAGUCUUUUUGGUUUUGAAUAAAUAUAUAAGAUAUGUUCUGUGGACAAUAUUAAAUAGCUGCUAGUAAACGUUUCAAAGUAUGAAGACAUGUUGACAUUUUAAAAAAGGAAAAAAAUCUACCUCUUUUGGUUUUCAGUAGACUCUUGCCUAGUGCUCUGUAGAUUCAUGUUUAUAUCUGUUGCAUUUAACAGUGUUCACCAGGAGACUUUAACACAUUCAGUUCUUGUUUUAUAAAAACAGCACUCUUUGUACAAAUAGCAGAGACAUGUUGGUCCGAUCAAUUGACCAAAAUAAAACAUACAUUUACAUAUUAUCAGUUCUUAAAGGAAAACAAUCAAGCAUCAGUUAAAAAUAAGUAUCAAAGAAUAGAGGUAUCUCUAAAUUGUGUGAUAAAAGCAUAUGAAAUCUGUUUCAAUCAUAAGUUUUAACUUGGUUCGUUGUAUCAGUUUUUUCUCUAAGAGAUGCCAUUAUAGAUUGCACUUAUUACUUUCUACCUGGGAAAACUAUUUGAAAAUUCUUUAAGUUUCAACUAUAGAAUAAAAAUAAGGGUAAAAGUUUAAAAAUUUGCUGAUUAUUUCAUUUUUUAUGGAAAUCUGAUGGAAAUGUGUAGUCAUUAUAAUCCCAGAGCAAUGUGCAAAUAUUUUCUUUUUGCUUAUUCUUGGAAAUAUGUAUGUUCAUGCUUUCUGAGGAAAACUUAUUUGUCCCAUAUGAAACUGCUCAAUUUAUCUGGAGAAUAUUUUUUACCUGACUGCUUUGCUCACCUUCACACACACUGCACUUCCUUAUUGACAGGCUGAAUUCACCUGAACAUAAAAAUUAAGUUUAUAAUUAAAAUAAUUGUAUUUUUCUCUCUCAUCUUCUAGUAUUGGAUUUAAAAGCUGUCAUUGAUCUUGUCUCCCUAAGCUAUGAACAAAAUUGUUAACCUACUUUUCAAAAACACCAUUGGUUC